UGUUGAUAGAGGCGCGGCUUCGCAUGAGUAGCCUCCGGCAUCGGGCAGGUACCCGCCGGAGAGGAAAGGGCGGGCCGCCGAAGGGCCGUAGCUUUGCCUGAAGAGCGGUUGCCUGGGCCGGCGGAGAACAUCCGCCGGACUGCCACACCUGUGGAGCGCUAUCA
Molecule: non-coding RNA, 164 nt
Filed under: uncultured Dysosmobacter sp.
Lineage: Bacteria; Bacillati; Bacillota; Clostridia; Eubacteriales; Oscillospiraceae
Description: Lysine riboswitch
Rfam family: Lysine riboswitch aptamer
About the family: Riboswitches are metabolite binding domains within certain messenger RNAs that serve as precision sensors for their corresponding targets.
Source: RNAcentral